This 590-nucleotide long non-coding RNA is filed under the name Setaria viridis. Its description in RNAcentral is "long non-coding RNA (SVIR_LNC011405)". Lineage: Eukaryota; Viridiplantae; Streptophyta; Magnoliopsida; Poales; Poaceae. The record is from RNAcentral.
UUCUGGAAAUGAUUGUGUGGUUCCUGCUCAGCUCGAAAAGAUUGAGUUCCCAGACCUAAAUGUCGUGAAGGAGGAUGAGAUUAUGGUCUCAAAGUAUCUCGAGAUGGGGUCUUUGGACUCUCAGAACCCUAUAAAAACUGAGAAUGGCAAGUUGCUGCAUUCUGGAAAUGGUAACGAUAUUCCUUCUGAACUUGGAAAAAUCGAGUUCCCAGACUCUGAGAACCCUGUAAAAGCUGAUAAUGGCAAGUUGCUGCAGUUUGGUGCAGCUGUGCCUGGUACUGCAAUCUGUGCAGAUAAGCUGGAGGAACAUCAGGAUGAAAGCCCUCUAAGUUGUGUCUCAACCACAGGUUCCUCCACUGCCCUUUCUGCAACACAACAAUCAGUUUCUGAGCCAAGUUCUGAGCCGUCGGAGACCACUGUCGAGGCACCCCCAAGACAAAGCCAGAGGGAGAAAAGCCAAGAUGUUACCGAUGGUGAGGCUGAUUCUUCUGAAGCACUAGCAGCACCCAAGGAUGAAGUUGUCAAGCCUGUGAUCAGCAUUAAUCUUCAGCCGGAGCAGUCAGUUGUCCAACAGGACAUAGUUGACAUGU